This 28-nucleotide small RNA is filed under the name Bombyx mori (domestic silkworm). RNAcentral describes it as "ovarian small RNA-37708". The record is from RNAcentral. Lineage: Eukaryota; Metazoa; Arthropoda; Insecta; Lepidoptera; Bombycidae.
UUGAGGAUUGGAUUACACCCUCUGACAC